ACUGACAGGGAGAAAUCCUUUAUCCAGAGCAUGAUGAGGCCCUGGCACAGGUUGCCCAGAGAAUUCCCAUGCCUGGAAGUGUUCAAACCAGGUUGGACAGGGCUUGGAGCAACCUGGUCUAGUGGAAGGUGUCCUGCCUAUGGCAGGGAGAUGGAAUGAGAUGAUCUUGAAGGUCCCUUCCAAUCCAAAUUAUUCCAUGAUGCUAUGUCACAGAAAAAUACAGUUUUUAGAAAGUGCACAGCUUGAUCAUAACAUAUGAAAACUAAAUGCCACCUCAACCCAUUUGUUUAUUUUGUCAAUUCUUGCCUGAUUGAAAUCUCAAAACAAAAACUUCUCGAAAAAGAAAACUGUAUUCUUAUGAUGUGUGCAAAAUUCCAGAAACUUGCUGUGUGCAGCAACAAAGAGCAGAAUAACACCAGAACACAGAGUUGGAGGCAAUAUAAUUCCACCCUUCACACCUCAGUCAUCUUAACAGGUGACAGAGAUCUCACUGCUUCAGCUCCUUGCACCUGGUUGUACCAAGAAGAUCAAGGGCUUCCCCCUGCCUCACCCAGUGUAACAACCUCAGGAUCAAAUUAAAUGCCCAUGCUGACCUUCUCAACCAGAGGAGGAACUCUGAACCAUCCAGCUGAGGGACAAGACAGCCAAAAUU
Molecule: long non-coding RNA, 652 nt
Organism: Passer domesticus (house sparrow)
Lineage: Eukaryota; Metazoa; Chordata; Aves; Passeriformes; Passeridae
Exons: 3
Source: RefSeq, a predicted model, not a curated record